UGGGGAAUCUUGCGCAAUGCGCGAAAGCGUGACGCAGCAACACCGCGUGAGGGAAGACGGCCUUCGGGUUGUAAACCUCUUUCAGGAGGGACGAAGGCCGGCCGGUUAACAGCCGUGCCGGCUGACGGUACCUCCAGAAGAAGCUCCGGCUAACUACGUGCCAGCAGCCGCGGUAAUACGUAGGGAGCAAGCGUUGUCCGGAAUCAUUGGGCGUAAAGCGCGCGUAGGCGGCCCGAUAAGUCCGCUGUAAAAGUCAACGGCUCAACUGUUGAAAGCCGGUGGAUACUGUCGGGCUAGAGUACGGAAGAGGCAAGUGGAAUUCCUGGUGUAGCGGUGGAAUGCGCAGAUAUCAGGAGGAACACCUAUAGCGAAGGCAGCUUGCUGGGACGUUACUGACGCUAAGGCGCGAAAGCGUGGGGAGCGAACAGG
RNAcentral lists this ribosomal RNA (429 nucleotides) under uncultured Solirubrobacterales bacterium. RNAcentral's name for it is "bacterial SSU rRNA". It matches the Rfam family "Bacterial small subunit ribosomal RNA", at positions 355 to 776 of the family's 1533-position model. Lineage: Bacteria; Bacillati; Actinomycetota; Thermoleophilia; Solirubrobacterales. The record is from RNAcentral.